UACGUAGGGAGCGAGCGUUGUCCGGAUUCAUUGGGCGUAAAGAGCUCGUAGGCGGCUUGGCAAGUCGGGUGUGAAAACUCCAGGCUCAACCUGGAGACGCCACCUGAUACUGCCAUGGCUAGAGUCCGGUAGGGGACCACGGAAUUCCUGGUGUAGCGGUGAAAUGCGCAGAUAUCAGGAGGAACACCGGUGGCGAAGGCGGCUCUCUGGACCGAGACUGACGCUGAGGCGCGAAAGCGUGGGGAGCAAACAGG
RNAcentral lists this ribosomal RNA (254 nucleotides) under uncultured bacterium. RNAcentral's name for it is "partial 16S ribosomal RNA". It matches the Rfam family "Bacterial small subunit ribosomal RNA", at positions 524 to 776 of the family's 1533-position model. The record is from RNAcentral.